GAUGAACGCUGGCGGCGUGCUUAACACAUGCAAGUCGAACGGAAAGGCCCUGCUUUUGUGGGGUGCUCGAGUGGAGAACGGGUGAGUAACACGUGAGUAACCUGACAUUGACUGUGGGAUAACUUCAGGAAACUGGGGCCAAUACCGGAUAGGAGCUCAUGCUGCAUGGUGGGGGUUGGAAAGUUGCGGCGGUUUGGGAUGGGCUCGAGGGUUAUCAGCCUGUUGGUGGGGUAGUGGCUUACCAAGGCUUCGACGGGUAGCCGGCCUGGGCGGGUGACAGGCCACCUUGGGGCGAAGGUACGGCGCAGACUCCUACUGGGGGCAGCAGUGGGGAAGAUUGCACAGUGGUCGGAGGCCGGAUGCAGCAGCGCCGCGUGCUGGAUGUCGGCCUUCGGGUGGUAAUCCACUUUCUCCUGUGACGAAGAGGGAGUGACGGUAAUUGGUAAAGAAGCACCGGCUAACUACGUG
This 468-nucleotide ribosomal RNA is filed under the name uncultured bacterium. RNAcentral's name for it is "partial 16S ribosomal RNA". It matches the Rfam family "Bacterial small subunit ribosomal RNA", at positions 28 to 507 of the family's 1533-position model. The record is from RNAcentral.